CAGAGUUGUAAGCUGGAGAGGUGUCGUGGAAGCGGGCCGGGCUCAAUUUCCUUGGAACAGGAGGUCAUGGAGGGUGAGAACCCCGUAUGUGGCUUGGGUGCCGUGGUCCUUGUGACGUAUCCUCUAAGAGUCGGGUCGUUUGGGAAUGCAGCUCAAAAUGGGUGGUAAAUUUCAUCUAAAGCUAAAUAUUGGUGAGAGACCGAUAGCAAACAAGUAGAGUGAUCGAAAGAUGAAAAGUACUUUGAAAAGAGAGUGAAACAGCACGUGAAAUUGUUGAAAGGGAAGCGUUUGGCAUCAGCCCAUGGCGGCGGUCGAACAUCUGGGCUUCUGCCCAGUGCACUCGGCAGUCGCCGGGCCAGCGUCUGUUCCACCUGCUGGAGAAAGGCCUUGGGGAAGUGGCACUCCCUUGUGGAGUGUGUUAUAACCCAUGGCGUCAUGCGGCUUGGUGGGA
This 451-nucleotide ribosomal RNA is filed under the name uncultured Archaeorhizomycetes. Its description in RNAcentral is "eukaryotic LSU rRNA". It matches the Rfam family "Eukaryotic large subunit ribosomal RNA", at positions 138 to 591 of the family's 3401-position model. Lineage: Eukaryota; Fungi; Ascomycota; Archaeorhizomycetes. The record is from RNAcentral.